UACGGAAGGCAGCAGUGGGGAAUAUUGCACAAUGGGCGCAAGCCUGAUGCAGCCAUGCCGCGUGUAUGAAAAAGGCCUUCGGGUUGUAAAGUACUUUCAGUCGUGAGGAAGGUGUUAAGGUUAAUAACCUUAGCAAUUGACGUUAGCGACAGAAGAAGCACCGGCUAACUCCGUGCCAGCAGCCGCGGUAAUACGGAGGGUGCGAGCGUUAAUCGGAAUUACUGGGCGUAAAGGGCACGCAGGCGGUUAAUUAAGUUGGAUGUGAAAUCCCCGGGCUUAACCUGGGAAUGGCAUUCAAGACUGGUUAGCUAGAGUCUUGUAGAGGGGGUUAGAAUUCCAUGUGUAGCGGUGAAAUGCGUAGAGAUGUGGAGGAAUACCGGUGGCGAAGGCGGCCCCGUGGACAAAGACUGACGCUCAUGUGCGAAAGCGUGGGGAGCAAACAGGGAUUAGAUACC
This 455-nucleotide ribosomal RNA is filed under the name uncultured bacterium. RNAcentral's name for it is "bacterial SSU rRNA". It matches the Rfam family "Bacterial small subunit ribosomal RNA", at positions 340 to 786 of the family's 1533-position model. The record is from RNAcentral.